AAAGUACUCCCUCCGUCCCAAAAUUCUUGUCUUAGAUUUGUCUAGAUACGAUGUAUCAAGUCACAUUUUAGUAUUAGAUACAUUCGUAUCUAGACAAAUCUAAGACAAGAAAUUUGGUACAGAGGGAGUAGUUG
This is a non-coding RNA of Triticum aestivum (bread wheat), 134 nucleotides long. The record is from Rfam. Lineage: Eukaryota; Viridiplantae; Streptophyta; Magnoliopsida; Poales; Poaceae.